UCUGAUCUAUGAUGAUCACUAAAUAAUAUUAUGUGGACUGUUGGAUGAAGCUUGCGGAUAUGGGACUGAGAUCAGGC
Molecule: small nucleolar RNA, 77 nt
Organism: Solea solea (common sole)
Lineage: Eukaryota; Metazoa; Chordata; Actinopteri; Pleuronectiformes; Soleidae
Product: small nucleolar RNA SNORD99
Exons: 1
Source: RefSeq, a predicted model, not a curated record